RNAcentral lists this transfer RNA (70 nucleotides) under Stegodyphus mimosarum. It matches the Rfam family "tRNA". Rfam says of the family: Transfer RNA (tRNA) molecules are approximately 80 nucleotides in length. The record is from Rfam by way of RNAcentral. Lineage: Eukaryota; Metazoa; Arthropoda; Arachnida; Araneae; Eresidae.
GCCUUCGUGGUGUAGUGGUCAACACGCUGGACGCGUCCAGAGCUUCGUGGUUCGAAUCCCGGCGAAGGCA